Oncorhynchus tshawytscha (Chinook salmon) is the source of this 2992-nucleotide long non-coding RNA. The record is from Ensembl. Lineage: Eukaryota; Metazoa; Chordata; Actinopteri; Salmoniformes; Salmonidae.
CAAAAAAAGAGGCCAAAUCAGCAGUUGCAGUUCCCCUUUAAGGCUGACAUGUUUGAGAGCACAUAGAAAAUGGACUUAGUGCUUUAUGACUAAGUUUUUGCGAAAAUUUGGCCACCUGCCUUCUGUCUGCUUCGCUUCCUGUGCCCCUUUGUUUCUUUGGUAUAGUUUGUAUGUUUUUCUAAUGAUUUUAAGUAGCAUGGUUAUUAAGUUAAAAGUAAAGAGGAAAUGGUAUAUGGAAAUUAAGCAUUCUAACUGAAUUGUGAAAAUGUUAACUUGAUUACUGAAACAGUGACUUGAAAACGAAGACAUGAAAAUAAAUGUUGAAAACUGUCCUGUUAGUUGUUUGCCUCUGCUUCACUCUGCUUGCUCAACCCAGUCCCUAUAAAACCUGUCACUUUUCUACCUUCUGACACUUGGCGUAACAAGUGCAGGGUCUGGGCCAUUGAGUGGGCAGUUGUGGGGCAGGGGCCAGUUUUGUUUUCCUUUUACGGUCUUGUGUUUCUGUGUCCUCUCAGGUUCUGCAGUCUCUCCCGUGGUUGUCUGGGCGCAGCUGGGGCAGAAGAGGAAGCCACCCCUGCUGGUCUAUGAGACUUUGUGCGACCUAACCGGCCUGGCGUGUUAAGGUGCCCUAUAAGUGAAGACUGAGCAGCUCUGUGGACAUGGCUGAAGGAUGUGUGUGGUCUGAUGAAGCUGAGGGGGAAGUUCCAGCUAAGAGGACAGGAUAACACUGCCAUGGGGGCCCGCAGAGAGCUGGAUGGAAUGGUCCACUCAAAGUGGGUGAGCGAUGGGGCUGAAGCGACCAAGAUGGGGCCAUCUGAUGCCCCAGGUCUACCAGGAGAGAGGAAACAGUGGAUGGAGACGACAACAAGAAUGGCCCUGGCUGCCCUAGGACACCAUGUGGGAGAGCUGCUAGCUUGAAGUGUUUUCACUCACUCUGCGAGGAAACUCUCAUUUUAAAGAAGGGGUGUAGUCCAGAGGCAUGGUGGAUCCUUGUUGCAACAGAGCGUAUGACCUGCCAUUGGCAUUAAACAAAGCCUGUGUGUACAUGCAUGCUGAUGAUUCAACCAUAUAUGUGUUAGCAACCACAGCUAAUGAAGUCACUGAAAUUCUUAACAAGGAGUUGCAGUCAGUUUUGGAAUGGGUGUCGAGUAAUAAACUGGUCCUGAACAUCCCUAAAACUAAGAGCAUUUUAUUUGGUACAAAUCAUUCCUAGCAAACCUAGUUUAAAACAAACAGAAAGCAAUUCCUCUCCCCCUUUUGACCUAGAAAUCGUGUGUAUGUAUUGAUAUAUAGGCUAUGUGUGCCGUUUUUAAAUGUAUGUAGUUCUGUCAUUGAGCUGUUUUUGUCAAUUAAUGUUCUGUAUAAUGCUAUGUUUUGUGUGGACCCCAGGAAGAGUAGCUGCUGCUUCCGCAACAGGUAAUGCUUCAAUCAACUCUGCCUCACGCCCCACCACUACAGAGUUUAGUUAGCUUCUUAGUUAGCUGUAAAAGGUGUUAGUGUUAUUAGCCUAUUUAGCGCUAACCAGCUAAUCUGCCAAUGCCACAAUGGAUAUCGGAAAUCAAACCAUCAAAGAUGCCUCCAAGCCCAGCAGCAAUGAUGGUGCUGAGCUCCAAAGCCCCCCCCCAUUCACAUAUGCCGCCAGGAUAAUGGCUCCACAGUCCCCUCCACCCCUGACUGUUCCUGACAAUCUUGGAAGAGGAGCCAGCCCAGAUUAGCCUAGAAUCCUACCAUAACAACAUGUUUUCUGUCCAGAAACAUUAAUUUAAUAUCAACUGCUUCAUAGGAGGAGAGUGGCUGGAAUACUCAGUUACUGCAGAUGCUGUAUUUUUGUUCCAAUGUCAAAAGUUCUGUAUUGGGUCCAUUGCUAAUGCAGACAAGGCCUUCACCCAAAGCGGGUAUUCUAACUAGAAGCAUGCUUUUGAUGAAACCAAGGGAUUCGCUAGGCACGCAUCAAGCAUGGUGCAUGGAGCAUUUGAAAUGCACUGCACUGUGGAAAGAAAAACUAAUUGUAUUCAGUUGCAUUCACAUAGGCUGUUUGUAAUAGGUGAAUUACCCCAUCUAUCUUGUAGCCUAUAUUCAUUGGCAAAUAGGCCUUGCUUUACUGUGUAAGGCGCUGUCCAUUGUGCUGAUACAGUGCAGCGGAGAUGGGUUUAUAGAUUUCGCGCCAACCUGUCACUUCAAAAGCACUCAAUGGUCUCAGAGUUUUGGCAUUUUAACUUUGUUUGUGGUAUAGCGUGAUAUAAUCAGAAUUCAAUAUAUUUCCAAUGCAAGAACCCCCCCCCCCCCAAAAGUGUGUCCCCUCACAGAUUUCAACUGUCCCCUUAGUCACUUUAACUUGCCGCAGGGUCUGUGCUGUAUGACUGGGAGAAUCUCAAUGCCCUUUUCUGAAAUAGAUUUGGUCAACUCCUGCAUCCUCUCUCCCGUCCUCUCUAACCUCCUUUUGAAAAAGGUCAAAAAGGUAAUUGAGGAGGCCGCUAGGAGAGGGAUCGUGGACGAAGAUGCGGUUGUUUGAAAUCAGACUCUCCUUUUCCAAUCGCGUGUCAUAAAUGUAUAAAGUGAUAGUUGUGCAAGACAUUUUAUAGAUAAAAGGAUCAUUAGCAUAUUGUUUUUAAAUGGUUGCGUGCUUUUCUACUUCGAGUAAACAAUAGCUGACUCAAAGUGUAAAAAGAUUUCCAAUCUCUUCCGCGAAGGACUCAGGGUUGUGCUUCCUUGCCAAUAGCAGGCUAUCGAGGAGGGGACCGUGUUCUGUUUUUCCACUAAUGAACUGAAACAUUCCUCGGCCACUUAUCGGUUUCCGGCUCACUGAGGAGUUUGCCCAAAGGAGAACUCCAAUUGCAUACUCAUGUCCUCUCUCCUCACCUCCUUCUCAAAAGAGAAAAAGGGUAUACAGAAAUGAAGCAUUCUAAGUGAAUUGUGAAAACGAGUUGAGAAUGUUGAAACUUGAUUACAGAAACGAAACCAUGUCUUAUGAAAAUAAAUGUAGAAAACUGUC